This 240-nucleotide unclassified non-coding RNA is filed under the name uncultured Basidiomycota. RNAcentral describes it as "sequence contains ITS2". The record is from RNAcentral. Lineage: Eukaryota; Fungi; Basidiomycota.
UGGAUCCCGGAUGAGGAUCUGACCUGCGGUAUUCAGCGAGGAGUUGGUGUGCACUGACGUGCAAUUAAUGCACACUAGCAGCUCUUUGCUGAGCCGUGAAAUACAGUCGGUAGUGACUGAUGGUCGGUCGUGUUGCUGGCCAUUGUGUGAUAAGAGAGGAUGUCCGAGGAUGUGCCUUGCCACAGUGAGCUGCUCAUGGUGACCAUUGUCUGCUGCCAAUCAACAUGAUGAUAUCAUGUC